CCAAACUGUUGCCUCGGCGGGGUCACGCCCCGGGUGCGUCGCAGCCCCGGAACCAGGCGCCCGCCGGAGGGACCAACCAAACUCUUUUCUGUAGUCCCCUCGCGGACGUUAUUUCUUACAGCUCUGAGCAAAAAUUCAAAAUGAAUCAAAACUUUCAACAACGGAUCUCUUGGUUCUGGCAUCGAUGAAGAACGCAGCGAAAUGCGAUAAGUAAUGUGAAUUGCAGAAUUCAGUGAAUCAUCGAAUCUUUGAACGCACAUUGCGCCCGCCAGUAUUCUGGCGGGCAUGCCUGUCCGAGCGUCAUUUCAACCCUCGAACCCCUCCGGGGGGUCGGCGUUGGGGACCUCGGGAGCCCCUAAGACGGGAUCCCGGCCCCGAAAUACAGUGGCGGUCUCGCCGCAGCCUCUCCUGCGCAGUAGUUUGCACAACUCGCACCGGGAGCGCGGCGCGUCCACGUCCGUAAAACACCCAACUUUCUGAAAUGUUGACCUCGGAUCAGGUAGGAAUACCCGCUGAACUUAAGCAUAUCAAUAAGCGGAGGAAAC
This 545-nucleotide ribosomal RNA is filed under the name Trichoderma atroviride. RNAcentral's name for it is "eukaryotic LSU rRNA". The stretch from base 150 to 303 matches the Rfam family "5.8S ribosomal RNA". The record is from RNAcentral. Lineage: Eukaryota; Fungi; Ascomycota; Sordariomycetes; Hypocreales; Hypocreaceae.